RNAcentral lists this ribosomal RNA (468 nucleotides) under uncultured bacterium. RNAcentral's name for it is "partial 16S ribosomal RNA". It matches the Rfam family "Bacterial small subunit ribosomal RNA", at positions 28 to 507 of the family's 1533-position model. The record is from RNAcentral.
GACGAACGCUGGCGGCGUGCUUAACACAUGCAAGUCGAACGGAAAGGCCCUGCUUUUGUGGGGUGCUCGAGUGGCGAACGGGUGAGUAACACGUGAGUAACCUGCCCUUGACUUUGGGAUAACUUCAGGAAACUGGGGCUAAUACCGGAUAGGAGCUCCUGCUGCAUGGUGGGGGUUGGAAAGUUUCGGCGGUUGGGGAUGGACUCGCGGCUUAUCAGCUUGUUGGGGGGGUAGUGGCUUACCAAGGCUUUGACGGGUAGCCGGCCUGGGAGGGUAACCGGCCACAUUGGGACUGAGAUACGGCCCAGACUCCUACGGGAGGCAGGGGUGGAGAAUAUUACACAGUGGGAGGAAGCCUGAUGCGAUAACGCCGCGUGCGGGAAGACGGGCAUCGGGUUGUAAACCGCUGUCGCCUGUGACGAAGAGUGAGUGACGGUAAUGGAUAAAGAAGCACCGGCUAACUACGUG